GUCUACGGCCAUACCACCCUGAACGCGCCCGAUCUCGUCUGAUCUCGGAAGCUAAGCAGGGUCGGGCCUGGUUAGUACUUGGAUGGGAGGAAAAGAAGGCUGCUAAGCU
RNAcentral lists this ribosomal RNA (109 nucleotides) under Canis lupus familiaris (dog). The record is from RNAcentral. Lineage: Eukaryota; Metazoa; Chordata; Mammalia; Carnivora; Canidae. RNAcentral also lists the same sequence under 1 other name.